Non-coding RNA from Candoia aspera, 935 nucleotides. Lineage: Eukaryota; Metazoa; Chordata; Lepidosauria; Squamata; Candoiidae. The record is from the annotation of a RefSeq genome assembly.
AUGGCGUGGACUCUGCUCUUGGCCGUCUUCUUCACGUGGAGCACAGGAUCAACCUCACAGUCUGUGGUGUCUCAACCUCCAUCAGCCUCCGUGUCCCCUGGAAACACAGUGAAACUGGCCUGUACCUUGGGCAGUGGGGUCAACAUUGGCAGCUACAGGAUACAUUGGUUCCAGCAGAAGCCUCCGAGUGCUCCACGUUUUCUCUUGCAUUUCCACACAGAUUCUGACAAAGGUCAAGGCUCCGGAGUUCCUUCUCGAUUCUCUGGUUCUAAAGAAACCUCCACAAACACUGGCUAUUUAUCCAUUUCUGGAGUUCUGGCAGAGGAUGAGGCUGAUUAUUACUGUGCUACAUGGUACAGCAGCACGUUUCACAGUGUGUAUGUCUUCGGGCCCGGAACCCAGCUAACUGCCACAGGUCAGCCCACAGUGCCUCCUCAAGUGCGACUCUUUGGUCCUUCCCAGGAGGAGGUGGAAAGACAGGAGGCCACCUUGUCGUGUCUCAUGAUCGACUUCUACCCGUCUGGUCUCACCGUAGAAUGGAAGGCUGAUGAUAAGCCGAUCACAGCUGGAGUGGAGACAACCAAAGCCACCAAACAGGGCAGCAGCUAUGUUGCCAGCAGCUACCUGAACAUCCCCGCAGCUGACUAUCAAAAGCAUGCAACUUACACCUGUGAAGUGACACACGAAGGAAAGACCUUCAGCAAGUCGGUGUCACCAUCGGGAAGUUGUUAAUGCAGUCGUGAAUCCUUGUCCUGCCGUCGGGCAGCAGGAAAGAGCCCCUCCUCCAUGGCUCUCCUUCAUUGGUCUUAGCUCGAUCAAUGACGUCUACUUCUGUCCCCUUUAGUUACGCUCCUGCAUCCUCCCCAUGCCUCCACCCCCUGAAAUCAAUCCCCACCCCCACUUGACCUCUUAGAUUCUACUGUUAGCACAUUAAU